CCUACGGGUGGCAGCAGUGGGGAAUAUUGGACAAUGGGCGAAAGCCUGAUCCAGCCAUGCCGCGUGUGUGAAGAAGGCCUUCGGGUUGUAAAGCACUUUCAGUGGGGAAGAAAGCCUUGGGGCUAAUACCCUCGAGGAAGGACAUCACCCACAGAAGAAGCACCGGCUAACUCCGUGCCAGCAGCCGCGGUAAUACGGAGGGUGCGAGCGUUAAUCGGAAUUACUGGGCGUAAAGCGCGCGUAGGCGGUCUGAUAAGCCGGUUGUGAAAGCCCCGGGCUCAACCUGGGAACGGCAUCCGGAACUGUCAGGCUAGAGUGCAGGAGAGGAAGGUAGAAUUCCCGGUGUAGCGGUGAAAUGCGUAGAGAUCGGGAGGAAUACCAGUGGUGAAGGCGGCCUUCUGGACUGACACUGACGCUGAGGUGCGAAAGCGUGGGUAGCAAACAGGAUUAGAUACCCGAGUAGUC
Molecule: ribosomal RNA, 465 nt
Filed under: Vreelandella stevensii
Lineage: Bacteria; Pseudomonadati; Pseudomonadota; Gammaproteobacteria; Oceanospirillales; Halomonadaceae
Description: partial 16S ribosomal RNA
Rfam family: Bacterial small subunit ribosomal RNA
Source: RNAcentral